RNAcentral lists this ribosomal RNA (460 nucleotides) under Polymeridium albocinereum. RNAcentral describes it as "eukaryotic LSU rRNA". It matches the Rfam family "Eukaryotic large subunit ribosomal RNA", at positions 139 to 635 of the family's 3401-position model. The record is from RNAcentral. Lineage: Eukaryota; Fungi; Ascomycota; Dothideomycetes; Trypetheliales; Trypetheliaceae.
CGAGUUGUAAUUUGCAGAGGAUGCUUUGGAUUUUGCUCUGUCUCAAGUCCUUUGGAACAAGGCGUCAUGGAGAGUGAAAAUCUCGUACAUUCGGUAGCACUAUCCGUGUAAAGCUCCUUCGAAGAGUCGAGUUGUUUGGGAAUGCAGCUCUAAAUGGGAGGUAAAUUUCUUCCAAAGCUAAAUAUCAGCUAGAGACCGAUAGCGCACAAGUAGAGUGAUCGAAAGAUGAAAAGCACUUUGAAAAGAGAGUUAAAAAGCACGUGAAAUUGUUGAAAGGGAAGCUCAUGCAGCCAGACAUGGUGUAAAGGUUCAGCCUUUUGGUGUAUUCCUUUGCGCCAGGCCAGCAUCAGUUUGGGCAGUUGGAUAAAAGUUUUGGGAAUGUAGCUCUUCGGAGUGUUAUAGCCCGAUUCAGAAUGCAACUUGUCUAGACUGAGGAAUGCUAACAGGAUGCUGGCGUAAU